AAUGAGAAGAUUCAGUAUCUUACAUUUGGUCGAACAUGGCAUGUUAUGUGAUAAUUUUUAAUGGCUUCGGUUAUUAAUAUUACACUGGUGUGUUAUGCUAAUUUGGCUAUGGAGAUAUGCACUUCUUCUCUAGUAGGACGUUGCAACUCAUUGGAUGUUAAUCUAAGGACCCAUAGGUAGCCUAUUUUAUAUAUAUUUCGGUAUAUGUGAUUUAGACCUAAGGUGUACACCCGAUUAACUUGUUCGAUGGUAUAUCAUAAUAUUGGGCCGCCUAUAUGGCAUUCAAACUAUUUUCAAGUGUGUGCGGAUAAAAUUUUGGCUAUCAGACCUAGUGCUGUUACUGAAACCGUUAUACUGUUGGAAUUUAGUAUAUUGAAUAGACCUUUUAUAUUGGUUAGCAACGC
This 404-nucleotide ribosomal RNA is filed under the name Panorpa alpina. RNAcentral describes it as "partial 28S ribosomal RNA". The record is from RNAcentral. Lineage: Eukaryota; Metazoa; Arthropoda; Insecta; Mecoptera; Panorpidae.